GAUGAACGCUAGCGGCAGGCUUAACACAUGCAAGUCGAGGGGUAUAGUUCUUCGGAGCUAGAGACCGGCGCACGGGUGCGUAACGCGUAUGCAAUCUACCUUUCACAGAGGGAUAGCCCAGAGAAAUUUGGAUUAAUACCUCAUAGUAUAAUGAGUUGGCAUCAACCCAUUAUUAAAGUCACAACGGUGAAAGAUGAGCAUGCGUCCCAUUAGCUAGUUGGUAGGGUAACGGCUUACCAAGGCUACGAUGGGUAGGGGUCCUGAGAGGGAGAUCCCCCACACUGGUACUGAGACACGGACCAGACUCCUACGGGAGGCAGCAGUGAGGAAUAUUGGUCAAUGGACGCAAGUCUGAACCAGCCAUGCCGCGUGCAGGAUGACGGUCCUAUGGAUUGUAAACUGCUUUUGUACGAGAAGAAACACUCCUUCGUGAAGGAGCUUGACGGUAUUGUAAGAAUAAGGAUCGGCUAACUCCGUGCCAGCCGCCGCCGUAA
This 494-nucleotide ribosomal RNA is filed under the name uncultured bacterium. Its description in RNAcentral is "partial 16S ribosomal RNA". It matches the Rfam family "Bacterial small subunit ribosomal RNA", at positions 28 to 523 of the family's 1533-position model. The record is from RNAcentral.